RNAcentral lists this ribosomal RNA (342 nucleotides) under Triticum aestivum (bread wheat). RNAcentral describes it as "partial small subunit ribosomal RNA". The record is from RNAcentral. Lineage: Eukaryota; Viridiplantae; Streptophyta; Magnoliopsida; Poales; Poaceae.
AUGAUUGUCCACAUCUUACAAUUGCUUUGCAGGAUAACAUUCACCCCAACUGUGUACCACUGCAGUAUGGCUACGGUGACUGGCCUGUGCCUCAGGCUUAAGUUGAUGCAAAACCUACGUGAUUUGGUGAGGCUGAGGCCAUCACUGAGGCUGGAUACAUGCAUGUGGACACAGCCACGGCCACAGCUCUCCGGAAACCAAGACGGCGACAGCGUCGACGGGAUCCUCGGACGACCUGCGUCUUUCUGCCUACGUCCUUCCCCUAACACGCCCGCGACCUGCAUCCAGCUGCUCCUGCCCCAGCCCUCCUCAACUUGGCUCCUGGUGAGCUGCUGUAGGUGA